This 497-nucleotide ribosomal RNA is filed under the name uncultured bacterium. Its description in RNAcentral is "partial 16S ribosomal RNA". It matches the Rfam family "Bacterial small subunit ribosomal RNA", at positions 28 to 507 of the family's 1533-position model. The record is from RNAcentral.
GAUGAACGCUGGCGGCGUGCCUAAUACAUGCAAGUCGAGCGAACGGACGAGAAGCUUGCUUCUCUGAUGUUAGCGGCGGACGGGUGAGUAACACGUGGAUAACCUACCUAUAAGACUGGGAUAACUUCGGGAAACCGGAGCUAAUACCGGAUAAUAUUUUGAACCGCAUGGUUCAAAAGUGAAAGACGGUCUUGCUGUCACUUAUAGAUGGAUCCGCGCUGCAUUUGCUAGUUGGUAAGGUAACGGCUUACCAAGGCAACGACGCAUAGCCGACCUGAGAGGGUGAUCGGCCACACUGGAACUGAGACACGGUCCAGACUCCUACGGGAGGCAGAAGUAGGGAAUAUUCCGCAAUGGGCGAAAGCCUGACGGAGCAACGCCGCGUGAGUGAUGAAGGUCUUCGGAUCGUAAAACUCUGUUAUUAGGGAAGAACAUAUGUGUAAGUAACUGUGCACAUCUUGACGGUACCUAAUCAGAAAGCCACGGCUAACUACGUG